This 498-nucleotide ribosomal RNA is filed under the name uncultured bacterium. Its description in RNAcentral is "partial 16S ribosomal RNA". It matches the Rfam family "Bacterial small subunit ribosomal RNA", at positions 27 to 507 of the family's 1533-position model. The record is from RNAcentral.
GGAUGAACGCUGGCGGCGUGCCUAAUACAUGCAAGUCGAGCGAACAGACGAGGAGCUUGCUCCUUCGACGUUAGCGGCGGACGGGUGAGUAACACGUAGGUAACCUACCUAUAAGACUGGGAUAACUUCGGGAAACCGGAGCUAAUACCGGAUAAUAUUUCGAACCGCAUGGUUCGAUAGUGAAAGAUGGCUUUGCUAUCACUUAUAGAUGGACCUGCGCCGUAUUAGCUAGUUGGUAAGGUAACGGCUUACCAAGGCAACGAUACGUAGCCGACCUGAGAGGGUGAUCGGCCACACUGGAACUGAGACACGGUCCAGACUCCUACGGGAGGCAGCAGUAGGGAAUCUUCCGCAAUGGGCGAAAGCCUGACGGAGCAACGCCGCGUGAGUGAUGAAGGUCUUCGGAUCGUAAAACUCUGUUAUUAGGGAAGAACAAACGUGUAAGUAACUGUGCACGUCUUGACGGUACCUAAUCAGAAAGCCACGGCUAACUACGUG